RNAcentral lists this ribosomal RNA (1445 nucleotides) under Escherichia coli 6-319-05_S4_C2. Its description in RNAcentral is "bacterial LSU rRNA". It matches the Rfam family "Bacterial large subunit ribosomal RNA", at positions 1389 to 2819 of the family's 2925-position model. Lineage: Bacteria; Pseudomonadati; Pseudomonadota; Gammaproteobacteria; Enterobacterales; Enterobacteriaceae. The record is from RNAcentral.
CCCUAAGGCGAGGCCGAAAGGCGUAGUCGAUGGGAAACAGGUUAAUAUUCCUGUACUUGGUGUUACUGCGAAGGGGGGACGGAGAAGGCUAUGUUGGCCGGGCGACGGUUGUCCCGGUUUAAGCGUGUAGGCUGGUUUUCCAGGCAAAUCCGGAAAAUCAAGGCUGAGGCGUGAUGACGAGGCACUACGGUGCUGAAGCAACAAAUGCCCUGCUUCCAGGAAAAGCCUCUAAGCAUCAGGUAACAUCAAAUCGUACCCCAAACCGACACAGGUGGUCAGGUAGAGAAUACCAAGGCGCUUGAGAGAACUCGGGUGAAGGAACUAGGCAAAAUGGUGCCGUAACUUCGGGAGAAGGCACGCUGAUAUGUAGGUGAGGUCCCUCGCGGAUGGAGCUGAAAUCAGUCGAAGAUACCAGCUGGCUGCAACUGUUUAUUAAAAACACAGCACUGUGCAAACACGAAAGUGGACGUAUACGGUGUGACGCCUGCCCGGUGCCGGAAGGUUAAUUGAUGGGGUCAGCGCAAGCGAAGCUCUUGAUCGAAGCCCCGGUAAACGGCGGCCGUAACUAUAACGGUCCUAAGGUAGCGAAAUUCCUUGUCGGGUAAGUUCCGACCUGCACGAAUGGCGUAAUGAUGGCCAGGCUGUCUCCACCCGAGACUCAGUGAAAUUGAACUCGCUGUGAAGAUGCAGUGUACCCGCGGCAAGACGGAAAGACCCCGUGAACCUUUACUAUAGCUUGACACUGAACAUUGAGCCUUGAUGUGUAGGAUAGGUGGGAGGCUUGGAAGUGUGGACGCCAGUCUGCAUGGAGCCGACCUUGAAAUACCACCCUUUAAUGUUUGAUGUUCUAACGUUGACCCGUAAUCCGGGUUGCGGACAGUGUCUGGUGGGUAGUUUGACUGGGGCGGUCUCCUCCUAAAGAGUAACGGAGGAGCACGAAGGUUGGCUAAUCCUGGUCGGACAUCAGGAGGUUAGUGCAAUGGCAUAAGCCAGCUUGACUGCGAGCGUGACGGCGCGAGCAGGUGCGAAAGCAGGUCAUAGUGAUCCGGUGGUUCUGAAUGGAAGGGCCAUCGCUCAACGGAUAAAAGGUACUCCGGGGAUAACAGGCUGAUACCGCCCAAGAGUUCAUAUCGACGGCGGUGUUUGGCACCUCGAUGUCGGCUCAUCACAUCCUGGGGCUGAAGUAGGUCCCAAGGGUAUGGCUGUUCGCCAUUUAAAGUGGUACGCGAGCUGGGUUUAGAACGUCGUGAGACAGUUCGGUCCCUAUCUGCCGUGGGCGCUGGAGAACUGAGGGGGGCUGCUCCUAGUACGAGAGGACCGGAGUGGACGCAUCACUGGUGUUCGGGUUGUCAUGCCAAUGGCACUGCCCGGUAGCUAAAUGCGGAAGAGAUAAGUGCUGAAAGCAUCUAAGCACGAAACUUGCCCCGAGAUGAGUUCUCCCUGAC